UACGUAGGGGGCGAGCGUUGUCCGGAUUUAUUGGGCGUAAAGAGCUCGUAGGCGGUUCGGUAAGUCAGGUGUUAAAACUCCAGGCUCAACUUGGAGAGGCCACCUGAUACUGCCGUGACUAGAGUUCGGUAGAGGAGCACGGAAUUCCUGGUGUAGCGGUGAAAUGCGCAGAUAUCAGGAGGAACACCAGCGGCGAAGGCGGUGCUCUGGGCCGACACUGACGCUGAGGAGCGAAAGCGUGGGUAGCGAACAGG
Molecule: ribosomal RNA, 254 nt
Filed under: uncultured bacterium
Lineage: Bacteria
Description: partial 16S ribosomal RNA
Rfam family: Bacterial small subunit ribosomal RNA
Source: RNAcentral